AGCGAACGCUGGCGGCGUACUUAACACAUGCAAGUCGAACGGGGAUCGUCGGAUUAGCAAUAAUUCGGCGAUCCUAGUGGCGCACGGGUGAGUAACACGUGGGUAACCUGCCCUAGAGUU
RNAcentral lists this ribosomal RNA (120 nucleotides) under uncultured bacterium. RNAcentral's name for it is "partial 16S ribosomal RNA". It matches the Rfam family "Bacterial small subunit ribosomal RNA", at positions 29 to 138 of the family's 1533-position model. The record is from RNAcentral.